RNAcentral lists this non-coding RNA (30 nucleotides) under Mus musculus (house mouse). The record is from RNAcentral. Lineage: Eukaryota; Metazoa; Chordata; Mammalia; Rodentia; Muridae.
UCCAAGGUGAAGGUGUACCCCGGACAAGGU